RNAcentral lists this ribosomal RNA (1140 nucleotides) under human oral metagenome. Its description in RNAcentral is "bacterial LSU rRNA". It matches the Rfam family "Bacterial large subunit ribosomal RNA", at positions 1262 to 2407 of the family's 2925-position model. The record is from RNAcentral.
CGUAAGGACAUGUGGAGCGCUUAGAAGUGAGAAUGCCGGUAUGAGUAGCGAAAGACGGGUGAGAAUCCCGUCCACCGAAUAACUAAGGUUUCCUGGGGAAGGCUCGUCCUCCCAGGGUUAGUCGGGACCUAAGGCGAGGCCGAUAGGCGUAGUCGAUGGACAACAGGUUGAUAUUCCUGUACUUCUAUAAAUCGUUUGAGCAAUGGAGGGACGCAGGAGGCUAAGAAAAGCGUACGACUGGAAGUGUACGCCCAAGCAGUGAGUCGGCUGAUGAGUCAAAUGCUUAUCACGGAUGCGACAAGCUGUGACGGGGAGGGAAGUUUAGUACCGAAGUUUCUGAUGUCACACUGCCGAGAAAAGCUUCUAGCAAGAUUUAUAGGACCCGUACCGCAAACCGACACAGGUAGUUGAGGAGAGAAUCCUAAGGUGAGCGAGCGAACUCUCGUUAAGGAACUCGGCAAAAUGACCCCGUAACUUCGGGAGAAGGGGUGCUGGUAGCAAUACCAGCCGCAGUGAAUAGGCCCAGGCGACUGUUUAUCAAAAACACAGGUCUCUGCAAAAUCGAAAGAUGACGUAUAGGGGCUGACGCCUGCCCGGUGCUGGAAGGUUAAGAGGAGAGGUUAGCCGCAAGGCGAAGCUUUGAAUUGAAGCCCCAGUAAACGGCGGCCGUAACUAUAACGGUCCUAAGGUAGCGAAAUUCCUUGUCGGGUAAGUUCCGACCCGCACGAAAGGCGUAACGAUUUGGGCACUGUCUCAACGAUGGACUCGGUGAAAUCAUAGUACCUGUGAAGAUGCAGGUUACCCGCGACAGGACGGAAAGACCCCAUGGAGCUUUACUGUAGUUUGAUAUUGAGUGUUUGUGUCACAUGUACAGGAUAGGUAGGAGCUGAAGAAUCCGGGACGCCAGUUUCGGAGGAGGCAACGGUGGGAUACUACCCUUGUGACAUGACCACUCUAACCCGCACCCCUCACCGGGGUGGGAGACAGUGUCAGACGGGCAGUUUGACUGGGGCGGUCGCCUCCUAAAAUGUAACGGAGGCGCCCAAAGGUUCCCUCAGAAUGGUUGGAAAUCAUUCGUAGAGUGUAAAGGCAGAAGGGAGCUUGACUGCGAGACCAACAAGUCGAGCAGGGACGAAAGUC